Molecule: ribosomal RNA, 253 nt
Filed under: uncultured bacterium
Lineage: Bacteria
Description: partial 16S ribosomal RNA
Rfam family: Bacterial small subunit ribosomal RNA
Source: RNAcentral
UACGGGGGGGGCAAGCGUUGUUCGGAAUUACUGGGCGUAAAGGGCUCGUAGGUGGCCAACUAAGUCAGACGUGAAAUCCCUCAGCUUAACUGGGGAACUGCGUCUGAUACUGGAUGGCUUGAGUUUGGGAGAGGGAUGCGGAAUUCCUGGUGUAGCGGUGAAAUGCGCAGAUAUCAGGAGGAACACCGGUGGCGAAGGCGAGUCUCUGGGCAAUAACUGACGCUGAGGAGCGAAAGCGUGGGGAGCGAACAGG